This is a long non-coding RNA of Bos taurus (domestic cattle), 479 nucleotides long. NCBI's taxonomy places the organism in Eukaryota, Metazoa, Chordata, Mammalia, Artiodactyla, Bovidae. The record is from Ensembl.
GGUACCUGGGUGUUCUGGAGACAGGUGUCGGGGGUUUUUCCUUGCCUCCGGACAGAGCCAGUCAUCCCCUCGGAGCACGACUCUCCACAGACAGCAUCAAGGAAAGACAUGACUUCUCUCAUCAGUCAGCUGUUCGCAUCAGAUGACCAAGAAUACUGGAGUUUCAGUUUCAGCAUCAGUCCUUCCAAUGAGUGCAGCAGGGGGCAAGGCUGAGAGAAUUAGUACAACCGUCGCCACUGAGCAGCUGGGGACACCGAUCCAAGCCAAGUAACACUUUGGACCAAGUUCAGGAGCAGGAGCGCACAGGCGCAGUGGCAGCCAGUCAGGUGCACUGGCCCCAACUAUCACUAUCGGAGGAGGUGUGGAAUAUGAGCUCUGAGGAACCCUAUAAGACACACUAAGGAGAACAGGAUUUAUUCCACAGGUAAUUGAGAACUGUCAAAAGGGUUUUUAACGAGGGAGUGAUGUAAUUAAAAAUG